UGGGGAAAAUCAGAAAUCGCUGGCCUCAGAUUUCCCUUCUCCUCUCCUCCAUCAAAUUUCCACCGCCGCCACCUGCCACAAUUCCUCGCAACUCUCACCACCAAGCCGCCUUCGUCGCGCCGGCCACCACCGAGAUAUGUCACCUCUCUUUUCCUUCACCAUGAUUCCCCCGCCAGCCCUCCGAUCUGCCGACUCCCCAAAAUUGAUUUGGGGAAAAUCAGAAAUCGCCGGCCGCCGCCACCUGCCACCUCCAUCUAAUUCCCUCCAUUUCGCUUCUCCACACAGGACUUUUCCCCCACCCCGCUGCGAUUAUAUGAUAUUUGGCGUCUCCAGACCAGACUCCCCUUCCUCCCGCUGUAUUUCGCCGCAGUCCGGCCUCAAGUCAGCACUGCCGUCCCUCUAACCGUCCUUGGGAGUUGUGGCGAAUUCAAUCUGCCUCUUCCACCUUCUCCGAUACCACCUCCAUUUCCAUCCCCCCGGCGAUCUGCCCUCCCGGCUUCCCCCCUACCUACAGAUUCCGGCGGUCGCGAAGGGCUCAAGACCACGGCCGGCUAUGGUAAGUUUUUUAUUUUUGCUUAUUUAACAAAAAUAAGCAAAUCAUAUCAU
Molecule: long non-coding RNA, 606 nt
Filed under: Salvia miltiorrhiza (redroot sage)
Lineage: Eukaryota; Viridiplantae; Streptophyta; Magnoliopsida; Lamiales; Lamiaceae
Description: long non-coding RNA (SMIL_LNC008130)
Source: RNAcentral